AUGAAGUGGUGUGAUCAUUUUCCUGGUUUCAAGGUAAUAAAUGAGGAUCCCCGCCAUUCCGACCAUAGGCCCAUCAUAGUGGAAACAGAACGAAGGUACUACAUAAGCAAGAGAGGCUUUCCCCACUUCAGAUUUGAAGUGAAUUGGGUUGAAGAAGAAAAUUGUGAAUCCAUCAUAGAGAAUGCCUGGAAUUUAGCGAUGGGAUAGGGAAUCAAUGAGACCACAUAUGGACUUAUCAAGGUGGCUAGUGAGCUUCAGAAUUGGAGUACAAAUAUUUUGGGCGAUCUGGAGAAGAGGAUAAAGACUUUAAAGAGGGAUUUAGAGAAAGUCAGAAGAGGUACAAUAUCCCCUCAACAAGUCUCUAGGGAAUGUUUUUUACGUGAGAAGCUGGAUCGCCUGGAACACCAAUGAGAUCUUUAUUGGAAGCAAUGCUCACACAUCGAUUGGCUUAAAUCAGGUGACAAAAAUACAAAGUAUUUCCAUGUCUUUUCUUCUGAAAGAAAUAAAAGAAACACAAUUCGCCGGUUAAAAAACAAUAGUGAGGGAUGGGUAGAAGGAGAUGAAAAUUUAAAAAAUCUAAUAAACGACUAUUUUGUGUCUCUAUUUACAGCCCAUGUAGAAGGAAGUAACCAAGAAACCUUAGGUUGUGUAAGAAAGAGAGUAAACCAAAGCAUGAACAACAUCCUGUGUACUAGAUUUUCCGAAGAGGAGGUGAAAGCAGCCAUUGACGCAAUAGGGGACCUGAAAGCACCAGGACCUGAUGGUAUGCCAGCCUUGUUUAUAAGCGUUACUGGCACAUGGUAG
Molecule: ribosomal RNA, 804 nt
Filed under: Triticum aestivum (bread wheat)
Lineage: Eukaryota; Viridiplantae; Streptophyta; Magnoliopsida; Poales; Poaceae
Description: partial small subunit ribosomal RNA
Source: RNAcentral